This 4306-nucleotide long non-coding RNA is filed under the name Sus scrofa (pig). Its description in RNAcentral is "lncRNA (ENSSSCG00045017396.1)". Lineage: Eukaryota; Metazoa; Chordata; Mammalia; Artiodactyla; Suidae. The record is from RNAcentral.
UGGGCAUGAAUGGUUUUCUUCUUCAUGUGUAAAAUUAGGCUUCAGAUGUGUCAUAUGCCUGAAGUGCAUUGUUGCCCUGUAUGCAGAUGGUAAGAACACGUAUGUCUCGAUACCUUUCUCUUAGCCUGUAUGCUUUAUCACUCAAGAGCCUGACAGAUGCAUAUAGGCAAAUUCACUCGCUGCUCUCUCUGUUGAUUGUUAAUACUUUUGGCAAUGAUGCUGUAAUUUGGCAAACUGAAUCUUGUUUGGGGAGGAGUACUGAAAGCAGUGAAGAAAUGGCACAAUUUUAGUUCUGAACCUUAUACUUCUUCAAAUAUGAGGUUUUUACAAUUCUGUACUUUGGAAAAAAGUAAGGGAAAAAGAACUAGUUUUAUAUUUAAUGCAGAACCUGAAAAAUUUAUGUCAUUUUAUUUUGAAAUGCUGUUGAAUAAUGUCCCUGAAUCAUUUUAAGUGUGCGUUGGAUGAGAUAGAGAAUUGUAAGUGAUGUCAGAUUAAAAAGUAAAAGUACAGUCUAUGGACAGAGUCUCUAAAAAUGGUUUUAAUAUAGUAGAACACCUUUAAUAUGAAUCAUUAUUAGGGAAAAAUGUGUAUUUGUAUAUUGCAAAUUAUUUUUCUGUGGCAGAACACAUGCAGCUAUUACUAAUGUAACAUCUUUAGCUAGUAAAAUGGACAUUAAUACUACCUCUAACCUAGGAAGUGGCUUUGCUGUACCUAGGCCUUCAACUGUAUAAAAUUAGAAUCCAUUAGCUCGUAGAGUAGACAUUCAUACUACCUUUAAUCUAGUAAAUGGUUGUGCUGUACCCAGAGCAGUUAACAUCAAUGCCUCUUUAGUUGUCCUAAUUAUGCUGAUGUUAAGUUCAGUGAACAUUUGUUUAGGGCCUACAGUAUGCCUAGCAGUGUGCUAAAGAUUGGAGAAAUACAGAGCCCAAAAACAUGUUGAUCCUUGUUUUCAGGGAGUUUAUAAUCUAAUUUGGUAAUGGAAACAGAAACAUAAAACUAACUGCCUAAAUCAUAUGAACGGUUGGUAGACAAUGCCAUACAGACAGAUAAAAAGGGCUGUUGGAGUAGAGAGAAGGGACGUAGUAAUUUACAGGAAUCCAAAGAAGGCUGUUAGGGCUCAAGAAAUGAGCUAGAAAGAUGAGUACAGUUUCUUCAGACAGGAAUGUGAGGAAUGAGGCUCUUGGUUGCUGGGAUUAGCACCAGGAAAGGUAAGUCACUGGGCAUUUCAGGAGCGACCAAGGGGGUCAGUGAGUGGAUUUUAGCUCGUGUGGUCAGAGUGAGGAGACUUGUAAGAGGUGAGGCUGAAAGAUUAGGGCUGCUGAAGGCUUCGGUUGCUGAGAUAAAGAGUUGCCCGUGGGUAGCUCUUUAAGUCUUGGAGCAGUUGUAAUUAGAUUGCCUUUUAGAUGACAACUCUGACAGCAAAAUGGAAGAUGGAUUGGAGAAGGGAGAAAGUAGAGUCAGAGGAAGAGGAUAUUUUAAGCAGGCUUUAAAGUUUUCAUAUAAAAUAUUAUCUACAUCUUUACAUGUGUGGGGUACAGCAAAUAAAGAUAUAAAACAGGAAACAAACUACAGGCUUAUUCAUUUCAUUAAUUUAAAAAAUUUUAAUUGAGCACCUGCUACAAGCCAGUGAUACUUUUAAGGGCUGUGGAUGUAGUCGUGAGCUAGACAGAUAUGGGCUCUGCCCUCAGGGAGCUUACCUUCUGUUGGGGAGGGGUGAUCAGGUCAAAUCAACAAAUUAAUAAGCAAGUCUUUUCAGGUUAUGGUAACAGCUACGAAGAAACAAGUUGACUGAUAUGAUGCUAGUAUAUAGAUUAAAUGGGGUUGAGUGUCAGGGUCUUGCUAGCUAAGGUCCUCUGGAAAAGCCUUUCUGAAGAAAUGAAAUAUGGAAAGAUAAGUAGACUAGUAUUCUAGUACUUUGGGUAUAAUUGGUGACCUCAGUUAUGAAUAUAGCUUUGAUUAAAUGAUGCUUGGAGUUUUUUUUUUUUUUUUUUUUUUUACAAAAGCUACUUUUUCCUAUUUUGUUGUACAAUAUCCCCUGUUCACCUCACUAGAAAUCUAUUUCUCUGAGAAAUCCCUUCCAGGCAACAGAUUUGUUAGCAUCCCUCUUUUCGUUCUGUGAUGAGAAUUGUAUAGUCAAUAUAGUCAUCUUCUUUCCCUUGUAUGUUAGGAAGUUCAGAGCUCAAAAUUUGUGUUCAUUUGUUUGUUUUCCUCUAUUUGGAGUCUGAUAUCAUCUUCUACUUCUUGUCUGCUUUCAUCAUUGGAUUUUGUGUUUUCAUGUGUUGGUUUUUGCAGCUUUCAAUUAAGUGAAGUGUCAAGUCAUUACUUUUAAUAAUGAAUCAAUAAAAAUUAGUCUUCAUAUUUGAUGCAUGGGAUCUGGCCAAGUACAGAAACAGCAGGAAUGGACAGAUUCUGGAGAUAUUGAGGACAGAGAACUGGGCGAUGGUGGGUAAGGGAGGAGGAGGAGGAGGAAGAGAAGAUGACCACACCACUGAGAGAAGGCCAAGGCUAUUUUCUUUUUCUCUCUUUCUCUCUCUCUUUCUUUCUUUCUUUCCUUCUUUUUAUCUUUUUAGGGCCACACCCACAGCAUAUGGAAGUUCGUCGGGCUAGGGGUUGAAUUGGAGCUGUAGCUGACGGCCUACACCACAGCUCUUGGCAAUACCGCCGGAUCCCUAACCCACUGAGCGAGGCCAGGGAUUGAACCUGGGUCAUUAUGGAUGCCAGUCAGAUUUGUUUCCGCUGGGCUGCAAUGGGAACUCCUAUUUUCAAACACUGGCAUCCCAGGAGGAAGAGCAGAGCUGAGGAAAGGAUAAAGACUUGGAUUUUAGAUUAACUAUUGGUCACAUACCCUCUUGAAAUGAUGAACAGUUAAUUAAAAAGAGUGCUAGAACACAAGAGGAGGGUUUUGGUUAGGAAUACAGACUUGAGUAUAGUUGAAGACUUGGAAAUAAAUGGAGCUAUUAAGGGAGGGACUGUUUCUAGAGAAGAUUUGAGGGCUACAGACAGACCCCUGAGGGAGGUCUACAGUAAGUGAUGAAGGGAGAGAAGCCCACAUCUCCCAGCCCAUGGCAUGUUAGUACACUGUCAUCACACCCACACCCACAGUCCUCAUCCUUCAGCUGACUAGUUGUCAUUCAUCCUUCAGGGUGUGUCUCAGACAUCCUAUAUGGCACCUGGUUGAUCCCCACUUGUCUGAGAGGGUUGCUUCUCUUCUGCCCCUACAGUCCUUGUCACAGGACUUAUGACAUGGUAUUUGAAUUGCUCAAUUAGUUUUUUCUCCCCACUGCCCUGUCAACCCAUUCACAAAUGUAUCUCAAGUGUAGCUGGUGCUCAGUAUGCAUCUGGUAAGUGAAUAAAUAAACUGGAAAGAGUCAUCCUAAACAUGAGAGGGCUGCUGUCUCAGAGAUGUCAGGGGAAGAGAGACGAGUGUCUAAAGGGAGGGAUGCACAGUCACCAUAAUAGUGUUCAUGAUAGGCCUCCUAUCUCAGUCACUGUGGCUGCUAAGAACAAGGUGUCAGCAAGUUAGUUUUCAUUCUGAGGCCUCUUUUCAAGGCUUGGAGGUGGCAGCCUUCUCAAUGUGUGCUCACAUGGCGGAGAGAGAGCAAGCAAGAUCUCUGGUGUAUCUCGCAAGGACUCUCAUCCUCUUGGAUCAGGGCCCCACCCUUGUGACCUUGUUGGAUCUUAAUUAGCUCCACAAAGACCUUGUCUCCAAAUAUAGUCAUAUUGGGGAUUGGGGCUCUACAUGAAUUUCAGGGUAGACACAAAAUUAAGUCCAUAGUGCCUCCCUCAUAGCUGGGUACUCGUUGUGGUUGAUAGAGUGAGAGAGAGAGAGAGAGAGAGAGAGAUUGAUUCCUAGUUGGAAAUCAUAUAAUGAAUAAUCCACAGUGGGUGGCAUCUGCCUUGCUCUGAAUCCUGAUCCAAAGGACUUUACUGGAAUGACCCAGAUAUACCUAGCUAAAAUAAAUCAUAUGUAAUCCAGUAUUUUUUAUGACUGAUCUUGCAGAAUUUCUCCUGUUCUUUUUAUUCACUUGAUGAUGACUGAACGUGCUUAGGCUCUAGCUUGAAAAGAAAUUGCAUGAGUCAGGGAAUUCCCAUCGUGGCUCAGCAGAAAUGAAUCUGACUAGCAUUCACGAGGACGCAGGUUCAAUCCCUGGCCUCACUUAUUGGGUCAAGGAUCCAGCGUUGCCAUGAGUUGUGGUGUAGGUUGCAGAUGCAGCUCGGAUCCUGUGUUGCUGUGGCUGUGGCAUAGGCUGGCAGCUGUAGCUUCGAUUCAGCCCCUAGUCUGGGAACCUCCAUAUGCUGUAGGUGC